RNAcentral lists this ribosomal RNA (569 nucleotides) under uncultured bacterium. RNAcentral's name for it is "partial 16S ribosomal RNA". It matches the Rfam family "Bacterial small subunit ribosomal RNA", at positions 355 to 914 of the family's 1533-position model. The record is from RNAcentral.
UGGGGAAUUUUGGACAAUGGGCGCAAGCCUGAUCCAGCCAUGCCGCGUGCGGGAAGAAGGCCUUCGGGUUGUAAACCGCUUUUGUCAGGGAAGAAAUCUUCUGAGUUAAUACCUCGGGAGGAUGACGGUACCUGAAGAAUAAGCACCGGCUAACUACGUGCCAGCAGCCGCGGUAAUACGUAGGGUGCAAGCGUUAAUCGGAAUUACUGGGCGUAAAGCGUGCGCAGGCGGUUUUGUAAGACAGAGGUGAAAUCCCCGGGCUCAACCUGGGAACUGCCUUUGUGACUGCAAGGCUUGAGUGCGGCGGAGGGGGGAUGGAAUUCCGCGUGUAGCAGUGAAGUGCGUAGAUAUGCGGAGGAACACCGAUGGCGAAGGCAAUCCCCCUGGGCCUGCACUGACGCUCAUGCACGAAAGCGUGGGGAGCAAAACAGGAUUAGAUACCCUGGUAGUCCACGCCCUAAACGAUGUCAACUGGUUGUUGGGAAGGUUCCUUCUCAGUAACGUAGCUAACGCGUGAAGUUGACCGCCUGGGGAGUACGGCCGCAAGGUUGAAACUUAAAUGAAUUGAC